UAGGGUUUCUCAGGAUCAUGAAACCUAAUACUUGAAGAAAUGACAUUUGAGCAACACAGGCCAUCCUCCCCAUCACUGGAAAGUGAUGCAAUUUCAUCCUCCUCAGCCUGACUGACAACAGUGAAGAUUGACCUAUCAUCUGCACUGUAAUUUCUGGUAUCUUCUGUCUGAAGCACAAUGCAGUAUCAUCAGAUGAUUAAUCAAUAUAGCUGCAAAAAUGAAGUUGUGAGUGUACAGCUUUGGAAUUGUACAAUGAAACUACAGGACUCCCAGGGAUGACUCUGACAGGUGCCUAACCCUGCAGUCCCCAAAGGCUCCACCCAGGCAGGGGUAGAGUCCCUCCCAAUGGCUACCACUCUCUCCUCCUCAUUUCGUUGUAUAAGGAAUGUGGGCUGAGUCCAUGUGGACCUUCUAGACUUCAGGCCCAGCCUCCUUUACCUACCUAGGAUGGUUUUAGAUCAGCUUGGUGUUGAAGGCACGAGAGUGAGAAAGAGCAUCAUGAUGUGUGGACUGACUGACUUUAUAAACAAGAAGUGUCUACUAAACAGGUACAACUGUAGACAGAGAUGAGCUUUCAGCACAAUAUGAAGUCAAGCCUUGUCUUUUUUGUUUACCAGGGGCCACAAACUAGUUGAAAUUGUACUCAGGCAUUGGAGGUGUCUGCUCUGCACAACGUAUGGAAGAACAUACAGCAUUCUUGUGAAGUGUGCCGGACUUGUCUGGCAGUAUUAUGUUGUAUUGUACUCUGCAAACUGUGUUUCCCAUGAUACGAUCUCUCCUUGCAGGAUGAAAUAAUUUUCUGCAUGAAGCAGAAACUAUAUGAUGGUUCCACUAAAAAUGAAUU
Alligator mississippiensis (American alligator) is the source of this 844-nucleotide long non-coding RNA. RefSeq lists it as uncharacterized. NCBI's taxonomy places the organism in Eukaryota, Metazoa, Chordata, Crocodylia, Alligatoridae. The transcript is spliced from 4 exons. The record is from RefSeq and is a predicted model, not a curated record.